CCUACGGGAGGCAGCAGUGGGGAAUCUUGCGCAAUGCGCGAAAGCGUGACGCAGCAACGCCGCGUGAGGGAAGACGGCCUUCGGGUUGUAAACCUCUUUCAGUUGGGACGAAGCCACGGCGGUUAAUACCCGUCUGUGGUGACGGUACCUUCAGAAGAAGCCCCGGCUAACUACGUGCCAGCAGCCGCGGUAAUACGUAGGGGGCAAGCGUUGUCCGGAAUCAUUGGGCGUAAAGCGCGUGUAGGCGGCUUGGUAAGUCCGCUCUGAAAGCCCGGGGCUCAACCCCGGGAGGCGGGUGGAUACUGUCAAGCUCGAGUCCGGAAGAGGCGAGUGGAAUUCCUGGUGUAGCGGUGAAAUGCGCAGAUAUCAGGAGGAACACCAAUGGCGAAGGCAGCUCGCUGGGACGUGACUGACGCUGAGACGCGAAAGCGUGGGGAGCAAACAGGAUUAGAUACCCUGGUAGUCCACGCCGUAAACGAUGGGCACUAGGUGUGGGAGGUGUCGACUCCUCCGUGCCGAGCUAACGCAUAAGUGCCCCGCGUGGGGAGUACGGCCGCAAGGCUAAAACUCGAAAGGAAUUGACGGCGNGAGAGCGCGACGACGACGACGAGGGAGAGG
RNAcentral lists this ribosomal RNA (618 nucleotides) under uncultured bacterium. RNAcentral describes it as "bacterial SSU rRNA". It matches the Rfam family "Bacterial small subunit ribosomal RNA", at positions 338 to 950 of the family's 1533-position model. The record is from RNAcentral.